UGGGGAAUUUUGGACAAUGGGCGAAAGCCUGAUCCAGCAAUGCCGCGUGUGUGAAGAAGGCCUUCGGGUUGUAAAGCACUUUUGUCCGGAAAGAAAUCCUUGGCUCUAAUACAGUCGGGGGAUGACGGUACCGGAAGAAUAAGCACCGGCUAACUACGUGCCAGCAGCCGCGGUAAUGCGUAGGGUGCAAGCGUUAAUCGGAAUUACUGGGCGUAAAGCGUGCGCAGGCGGUUUGCUAAGACCGAUGUGAAAAUCCCCGGGCUCAACCUGGGAACUGCAUUGGUGACUGGCAGGCUAGAGUAUGGCAGAGGGGGGUAGAAUUCCACGUGUAGCAGUGAAAUGCGUAGAGAUGUGGAGGAAUACCGAUGGCGAAGGCAGCCCCCUGGGCCAAUACUGACGCUCAUGCACGAAAGCGUGGGGAGCAAAACAGGAUUAGAUACCCUGGUAGUCCACGCCCUAAAACGAUGUCAACCAGUUGUUGGGGGAUUCAUUUCCUUAGUAACGUAGCUAAACGCGUGAAGUUGACCGCCUGGGGGAGUACGGUCGCAAGAUUAAAAA
This 558-nucleotide ribosomal RNA is filed under the name uncultured bacterium. Its description in RNAcentral is "partial 16S ribosomal RNA". It matches the Rfam family "Bacterial small subunit ribosomal RNA", at positions 355 to 900 of the family's 1533-position model. The record is from RNAcentral.